ACUAGUGAGAAAUUUAUUUUCUUAUGUACAUAGGAAAGACCAAGUAACCAAUUUAUUUUCCAUCAACUAAACGAGAUCUUAAUAUAUUACUUGCACACAUUUGAUUUACAUACGUACUUCAAAAUAAUUAAAGAACGAUAUCAGAUAAUUAAAACGGAACAAAGAUAAAAUUGUCUUUCAAUUUCUUACGCUUUCUACUCAUUACGGUUGCUUCUGUUCAAGUAAUUGUACAUAUAAGAUAAGGUAUGUAGCAUACACGAUGAAUAAGACUUUGCCUUAGUUUCUUUUGGUAUAUAGGCCACGAGUAUCUCGUGGCAUCUUCACAAUAUGUUAGUUUCUAAAGCCUAUAUUGGAGGUAACUGUUUCUCCCUUUUUCUUCCUUCCUUUCCUUUCCUUUCCUUUCCUUUCCUUCAUCCAAAAGCAUAGGCUGCGUUACACAAGCACUGAUAGGCAUGCAUCGUCAGGGCUUACUCACCCUAGCACAAUUCAAACCAUUUGGGGUCAUAAAACUAAUCACAAUUCACUAUCAAAUCAAAUCUUCAUCCAAUCAAAUUGUGAACGAAGGAAAAGCAAAGACCAUUUCUCUAGUCUUGUCCAUUCAAGUCUUACGUAUGCCAUAUAAAAUAAAAAUCUGGUCAAUAAUUAGUAGCAAACCCUAAAUAAAUAGUCAAUUAGAAGCUACAUAGGCUGCUUCAUCAAGCAGCCUUUACUGUUUACUCCUUCUCUGUAUAUAACAAAGGCCGGCUACUACUCUCAAGUACUUCAUCAUCAUUCUUUCUUCUUCUUACAAAGAACACUUGCUUUCCAAACCUUCUCGAUCAUCAAACUGCUUCUCUCGGAAGAAAAAAUGGCGCUAGAGUCGAUUUCGCUGAUGGAUAGCUUAAUGAAGGUGGGGAUGUUUGUGGUUGUUCAAGCUUUGGUUUAUGUAAUCCUUUCCAGUUCAUCCAAUCUCUUCUCUGAGAACAAACCCAGGUCAUUCAACAACAGCUUCAAACUUGCUCGUUCUGCUAGCAUCAACAGUAUUCUCGCCGCCAUCUCUGACUUACCCAAUGGAUCUACUACCACCGAUCAGGACUCACCAAUAUGAUCCGCAACCGCGAAAUGUUCGAUCAAGUACAACAUACAUAUAUAUAUGCACGUUUGUCAUCUCCCUCAUUCUGCUGUAGAUGGUUCAAAUAAUCAUAUUUGUUCCUCAUUCUUUCAUUGUUUCAAUUCAGUGUAAAUAUAUUUGUUCCUCAUUCUUUCAUGGCAGUAAUGAAUCGAAGCUACGCACAUCAUAUUAAGGCUAUUCGUAAUUCGUUCGAUCGAAACCAUCAUCUUAUACAGACAAUACGUACUUACAGUAUAUGUUACAAUUAAAACAAACACUCACUAUUUAAGCAUCUUCAUCUUUAGCUUGGGGAUCUCAACGUUGGACAGGAAACGUGUUCGUUUGAGAGCCAGUCUUUAUGAGAAUAUUGUCUCUUUCUCUAUAAGGCUGGUGUGUUGGGUUUGGGCCUCCUCUUAGGCCUGACCUGGAAGCUGUUACCUUGUUUUGUUUUUAGGUUUUCCAGGUUUGGUUUGUUGGUUUCAUGAUUUUGGCUAGAUUGACCAAGUAUUUACUCAUUCGAGCUAGGGUUUGAGUGUCUCGUAGUAGCUGUUGUGCUACUUACGUGGCGUUAAGCCUUUGGGUAAUGAGUUUUCAUUUCGGUGUUGUUACCAUGAGGAUAGAUUGUCUUUGCACGUGGUCUGGUAGUUUUUAAACAUGUGUUAAAAAUGUUAAUUAACUCGGUUUUUUUGUUGGUGGCAAGAUUGUAUAGUUACAAUAGUACGUAGCUUAUUUCGAGUGUAAAAUUUGGUUAAGAGUUGAGUCAUUUUAACUCAUGAACGUUGUUUUCGGUGACGGACACGUAACUAUGAAUCAUGUGUCUUGAUGCAGUGACCACAAUUGGUUAUUUAACUUAAUGUGGUUUCACUUCGCCUCAUAUGUGAAUAAAGUGGAGACCCAAACUUCCUCGGCUUCGGGCUUUGCAUGCCUAAAUGUCAUUUUCAAAACCUAAUCCAUGAUCACAUAAGCUCAACAAACACUAAUUGCUUACAUGGACCAGGCAACAACCUGAUGAUCUAAUUAAUCCAUCUUUAACAACUUGAUCCCCAGAUCAUGAAAGCGGAUUCGAAGUCCAAACAAAUGUAAACUAGCUUUUGGCAAUCAAAUAACUGAACAAUGUGGAGAACUAAUUGAUUUAGAAAAAUAAGAACAACCAAUUAAGAGAAAGACACUUCAGUAUAAACAUGUAAAUGCAGUACCAAGUGCUAGUGUUCAUAGCAAUGAAAGUACCAUCAAAUAUCUGUAUAAAUUAACCAACUGACCGGCCAGGAAAACAAAUAAAGUAUAGCACUUGAGUUUAGUUCCAAAGUAUAUUCAUAUGGAUAAUUCUUCAACCAGUGGUAGUCUACGAAGUGGUGUUGGCCACCAUGGGAGCACCAACUGGUAGAGAUCGCCGUCCGUCCAAUAUUCAAAAUACCUGGUGCUAUCUACUUUAGACCAGCUUUCUGUACGAAUGUUGUACAUGAAAUAGCAUCUUGUUUUUCCGUAGCUUUGUACAUGAAAGAUAUCCUCAUCAUUCGGGUCCAAAGCUAGAAGAUAAGCUCCACGAUUAUAACCAUCAAGUAGUACUUCACUGUCUACAAAAUAAACACUCACUUGUUUCAUAUAUAAUUUGUCAGGUGAUCCAGUUAACUCCCAAACAUCAUUUUCAUAAGGCCAGCUACGCGCCCACAUUUGUAGACGCCCUCGACGCACAUAUAUAAACGGAUUGUCUAAAAGAUUAUUAUCAUUAACUGCAUCAAAUAGUUGAAACUGAAACUGAAACUGAUCAUCAUCAACAAUCUCAACACCAUUAGGGCUACCACUAGCAGCACUGCCAUUUCCGAUCAUAAAUGGAUCCAGCCUAAUAAUCCCGGUCUCCCCACGAGGCUCAGAUGCUUUAUAAGUCCAAUACAACAUUCCAUUGUAAGCAACGCCAGUAAUAUCUGCAAACUCAAUGUUUCGUGGGGAAGAUGCAAUCGACUCUCUCCAUUGGCCCGUCUCCAAACAGAAUACCUGAACAAUGAAUUUGCAAUGUUCAACCACCCAAAGAGACAUUGUAGCUGAAUAGUGAGGAAGAAUUCUCACAACCUUGCACCUGUAGUCCGAAUUAAUAUUAACAGCGGUACCACUAGUAGUACUAUCUUCCUCAUAGUAGGGAUCAGAAAUGAAUCCAACUGCUGCAUGCGUGCAACAUCGAGCGGUGGGAGGAAGAGCAAUCCAUUGUCUUGUGCAUGGAUUGCAAAUGUAGAAUUCACGUUGGUUUAUGUAAUAUGGAGUUCGGCAGCACAAAACUAAAUCAUUAGAUGUUCCUACCACAUAUGGCUUUUCUUCCAAUCCGUGGAAACUCAUGACUCUUUCGAAUAGCGGAUCUAGCAGAUUGGAUGACGACUGUGCCGUUCUAGGAGUGGGGAAUUCCUCUCCUCUUCUGUCCAUCAGAGUUCUUGCUAUUGGGGUUUUCUUCUGAAAUCUUUGAAUAUGUAGAAAUCGGCCAAUGAAAUACGGAUCCGAGAUGAGAUUGAGCCAAUGCUUGGAAACACAUUUGCAUUGGAAAACGAAUUCCUUGCGAGGAAGCCGACAUAGGAUUUCAACCAACAGAAGGUCUGGGAGAUCAUCAUAGCUAAAACUCAUGAUCGGAUAGCCCUGCAAAGACGAUAGCCAAAAAGAAUGCGAUACGUCGUAUGUUAUUGAACCAUGAAGAUGAUCAGAUACAUACAGGUACAAGUAGUAUAAACUGUCUGGAAAUUAGAGCACUUAUGUAAUUCAUAUAGAUAAGCCUACGUCCACAGUGUUGUAAUUGAAGGUAGAAUGGGGUCUUCAUCGAUUAUAUAGUAAAGAUGAAAUUCACGGCAGAGUUUGCAAUCGGAAAUAGAGCUCACAAAGCAAUAUAGAAUGGGAAACAUCAACUCGUACAGAGAAAAAUACAGAUAAUAUAACUGACAGAUUAAACAAAGAAUCCUACCUGUUGAUCAUAUGGGACUAAUUAAGCGAGCUCGAUUCAGAGUACGUGAUGGUUGGAGGCUAGGGUUCGGGUUUAGUGUUGCUUGAUAUUCUCCCGAGCGGCUCCACGAAAAGUGGAUUUGUCACGGGCGUUUGUUCUUAUACCUUUGGAAACCAUACCCAAUUUCACCAUUUAAUGAAUUCCUUUUACGUGCUAUUUGAUUACUUGAUAUUUUCAUAGAUUUUCUUAUGUACUUAGCAUAUUGAUCAUGUUUUUUUUUUUUUUGAAUAAAGAGUUGGUGCGGCGGCCUUCAAGCUUUCAUUAAUGAAAUUGUCAAAUACAAAAAAAAGAUGUGAAACCUGAACUCCUGAUUAUAAUAAGCAUAUUGAUCAUGUUAUGUAUGUACUAAUUUUACAAUUAGAGAAAUGAAAUUCACUCUCAUUUUAUAAUCCACACCUUAUCUUUCAUUUUUUCUAAAUAAAGUAUCGUCCUCCCACAAAAUAAAGACAUGUUUAGGUACGAAAAGAUAAAAUGUGGUGUGAAUUGUUGAGUAAAUUUUACCCCCUUGUAUUUUUUCAUAUUUUAUGGGCGUGUUUCACAUCCGCAACAUCAUCGAUUAUACUUAAAAAUUGAUAAAAGGUACUUAAUACACAAUUACACAUAGCAUAUAUUCAAUUAUUCAUAGCUAUAUGGGUAAUUUUUUAACAGUUGGUAGUCUACGAAGUGGUGUUGGCCACCAUGGGAGCACCAACCGGUAGAGAUCGCUGUCCGUCUAAUAUUCAAAAUACCUGAUGCUAUCUACUUUGACCACCAUUUUACCAAAAAAAAAAAAUCUACUUUGACCACCUUUCUGUACGAAUGUUGUACAUGAAAUAGUAUGUUAUUUUUCCGUUGCUUUGUACAUGAAAGAUAUCCUCAUCGUUCGGGUCCAAAGCUAGAAGAGCAGCUCCAUAAUUAUCAAAAUCAAUAAGCACUCCACUGGUUACUGGAUAAACACUCACUUGUUUCUUGUAGAACUUGUCAGCUGAUCCAAGAUCAUCGAUCACCAUCACUUGUUAACUCCCAGACAACGAUAUCAUAAUCCCCGGUGAUAGUACGACCACAUUUGUAGACGCCCACAUUAGCAUCAACAUGCGUUUGCCAUUGGUGUCGUCCCUCCUUUUUGGGUGAGGGUGUUAGGGUUUUGGUUUGAUUGGGGUGGUAGUUUUGAUUGGGCCAUGGUUGGUGUCAUGUUCAGGGACUAUAGGUGUUAACAUAUGUGUUUUCUUGUUGUCAAUGUAAUUGAGAGGUUGCCCCUGCAUAUAUGUUGGCAGUUUUGGUAUAUAGUGUUUGACAAUAUUGUUUCUUUUUGAGGUUGGCUGUAAGGAGGUAUCAAUGUUUCUGGAUGGGGAUAAGAGUAUGUUACAUUUGGACUCUUUUCGAUUCAUGGUCAUUGUAAUCGCCGAUAUAUGGGUAGAGAGGAGUGUGAGCCUGCCUUCUUGGGCCUCGGUUAAGACUUCUUUUGCGCUACUUCAAUCCCCACUAUGUCCAUUACAUGUUAUGGGCCGCUAAUGACUUCUAAAGUCAACUAGUGUAGUUGAGGUUGGAGUCAGCAAACUUUAACCUUAUUGCUACAGUUUAAUGGUUGUAGAUAUUUGAAGCAUUGCAAUAAUUGAGCGCUUUGGCGAUAAUAUUUUCAACUCUAGUAUCUUCUUGUAUCAAUUUGGUUAUCUUUGCUAGGCUCACUAAUAAGUGCGCAUCAAAUCCAAAUGUAAUGGUUCUAUAUAACCCUCGAGAUUAUCAUAUGUAGUCAUUCUAGCCUCUGAAUCAAGGAGUAAAAUAUCGACGAUCAUGAAAUUUUCGAUGGUUCGAAAAAAUGAAAUCUCGAUAGAUAUAUUGAGAUAAUAUCGAAUAUCGAUAGAAAUUUUACCAAAUUUUAUCUAAAAGUUGUAUAUUCGACCAAAAAUAGACUAAAUAUAAAAUAUCAGAAAAAUAUGAAAAUUAAUAUUGGUAAUUGUAAAAAAUGGAAAUUUCGAGGAAAUAUAGAGGAUAUUUUAGAUAUUUUACUCUUUGCUCCUAAUUAUCAAUGAAACUUUCAUUUUGUUAAAAAAAAAAAAAAAUCAUCUACGUAAAUUUGAAAAUGUUGAACAAAAUUUCCUUUAUAUUCAUCAAAAUCGUCCAAAUUUCCUUAUGGUACAAUGGAUUUCAUAUGGUCACAUUUUGUACUAAAGAAUAGCAAUCAAACUUCUUUCGAAAAAAUAAAUUUUAUCAAAUUCUUUUAACUUGUGUAGAGGUUUACAUAAAUAAAAUAUAACUUGCAUGUAAGAAUUGUGUAUAGACAAAUAUUUAAGGGCACAUUAUGACCUGAUAAGGGUUGAAUUGUAUGGCUACGACGUGUGGAAGGGUUGGGAAGGUUGUUGCGCUUGCUUCUCCAUGGCGUUAUGUGGACCUCUAUGGCUGGUGGCUGCGGCCAAGCGACCGUGAUGCAGCGGAUAGUGAAGAAGAUUUUCUCUUGUGAGAGAGCAGAGUGGAUGAGGAUUUUGUAAUGGCUGAUCUUGUGGAAACAAUACACUCUUGUUGCACGCUUGGUCUCUUAGCGGAAUCUUCAACCUGUGUGAGCUUGGAGAUCUCACCGUUGGACAGUAUGGGAGUUCGUUUGAGAGCCAAUCUUUAUGAGAGCCAAUCUUUAUGAGAAAUAUUAGAUGUGUCAAAUGUUUAAUGGGUUGAAAGAUCUUUAACGGUUGUGGUCUCUUUGUCUAUAAGGUUGGUGUUUGGGUUUUGGCCUCUUUUUGGGCCUAACCUAGACAUUAUUAUCUUAGGUUUGUUGGUUUCAUGUUUUUGGUUAGGUUUACCAAGUCUUUACUCAUUCGAGCUAAGGUUUGAGUGUCGCACUGGUUGGUGUGCUACUUUUGUGGCGUUAAGCCUUUUGGGUAUGAGUUAUCGUUUAGGUGUUGUCUGGUUAUCAAC
Molecule: long non-coding RNA, 6953 nt
Filed under: Fragaria vesca (wild strawberry)
Lineage: Eukaryota; Viridiplantae; Streptophyta; Magnoliopsida; Rosales; Rosaceae
Description: long non-coding RNA (FVES_LNC001530)
Source: RNAcentral